Long non-coding RNA from Oncorhynchus tshawytscha (Chinook salmon), 1508 nucleotides. The record is from Ensembl. NCBI's taxonomy places the organism in Eukaryota, Metazoa, Chordata, Actinopteri, Salmoniformes, Salmonidae.
UGUUUGUUCAGUCACUUAACCAACUUUAUUUUCCAUAAUGUAUAGUGAAUGCAUAAACAGGCAUGUUACCAACAAACAAACAUUUAUCUGUCUCCAACAUCUGCUCCUCUGGUGUCAGAGAUAGACCCUGCCGCAGCUGAACAGGAGGGGAGGGACUCAACUCUCUCACUUGCAGACAUAACUGUUAAUGAAUCCCAAAUAAUGAAGUUGAUGUAAUUCAUCACAUACAUGUAUCUGUUUAAAUCGAAAUAUUUGUGCACAUUAGGUACAUCUCUAGUAGGGACACGAUUGGAUGGAACACUUUUUCAGAGUGAUUGCAGAGCGAGGGGCAGUGUAAUACGGUCUGUGUGUAGCUGGUGUAGGGGAGUAUUGCGCAGGACAGCAGAUAUGAGUAAAUUAAGGUACUUUACUCAAAAUAUACAAAUGCGAUACAAUAAAGAGAGCCCACAUUAACGGACGUUACUACAUAUAAACAUACUACUGGGAAAGGAGAGUUAAAUAAUGAACAAGUAAUUGGGGGAUUGAAACCUGAUGUUUAAUGUAAUUUUAAAUAUACCUUUAUUUUACGAGGCAAGUCAGUUAAGAACAAAUUCUCAUAAUCAAUGACAGCCUAGGAACAGUGGGUUAACUGCCUAUUCAGGGGCAGAACAACAAAUUUGUACCUUGUCAGCUCGGGGAUUCAAACUUGCAACCUUUCGGUUACUAGUCCGACACUCUAACCACUAGUCUACCCUGCCGAUGUGUAGGACAAAGACAAAACAAAUGGAAAAUGAAAAGUGGACCAGCGAUGGCUUGAAGGCCGGUGCUGGAUCUUCUCUCAAAAUAUUUUACAUACUGAUAGCUGACAAUGCGUGAUGACAAUUUCACCAAAUGUUUAAAAAAAAUCUUACCUAAUGCAGCUUUAACAUGAAAGCUUACUUAAAUUAGAUAAUCUAUUUCCAUCUUUGAAUCUGAGGCCGGCAUUAGCGUUGUAUGUUAGUAAAAUCAAAUCUUAAACUACUCAUCUUGCUAAGUGUAAAAAAAGAAUGUUGAACAAUGUUAUUACUGAUAAACUGCACAUUUCAUGGAACAAGCGGUUCCUAAAUGAUGUUGACUUACUGGUCAUUAUUUGUAGUUGAUCGGUAUAUAUGACAUGGUGUUUUGUAUUCACAUUGUUCACUUUGGCCUGCUAUUGUUUUUGUUUUCACGUGGUGGACGUUGACCUGCCCUGCUGAUACUGUGUAAUGUGUUCAGGUGAGUGACUCAACACAGGUUUCUCUAGCUAGCUCUGCUGAUACUGUGUAAUAUGUGUUCAGGUGAGUGACUAAACACAGGUUUCUCUAGCUAACUCUGCUGAUCCUGUGUAAUGUGUUCAGGUGAGUGACUAAACACAGGUUUCUCUAGCUAGCUCUGCUGAUCCUGUGUAAUAUGUGUUCAGGUGAGUGACUAAACACAGGUUUCUCUAGCUAACUCUGCUAGUCCUGUGUAAUGUGUUCAGGUGAGUGACUAAACACAGGUUUCUCUAGCUA